RNAcentral lists this ribosomal RNA (388 nucleotides) under uncultured bacterium. RNAcentral describes it as "bacterial SSU rRNA". It matches the Rfam family "Bacterial small subunit ribosomal RNA", at positions 28 to 417 of the family's 1533-position model. The record is from RNAcentral.
GACGAGCGCUGGCGGCGUGCUUAACACAUGCAAGUCGAGCGGUAAGGCCCUUUCGGGGGUACACGAGCGGCGAACGGGUGAGUAACACGUGGGUGACCUGCCCUCAGCUCUGGGAUAAGCCUGGGAAACCGGGUCUAAUACCGGAUAUGACUCCAUGACGCAUGUUGUGGGGUGGAAAGCCUUGUGCGGCUGAGGAUGGGCCCGCGGCCUAUCAGCUUGUUGGUGGGGUGAUGGCCUACCAAGGCGACGACGGGUAGCCGGCCUGAGAGGGCGACCGGCCACACUGGGACUGAGACACGGCCCAGACUCCUACGGGAGGCAGCAGUGGGGAAUCUUGCGCAAUGGGCGAAAGCCUGACGCAGCGACGCCGCGUGAGGGAUGACGGCCU